Phrynosoma platyrhinos (Desert horned lizard) is the source of this 72-nucleotide non-coding RNA. Lineage: Eukaryota; Metazoa; Chordata; Lepidosauria; Squamata; Phrynosomatidae. The record is from the annotation of a GenBank genome assembly.
GACCAUGUGGCAUAGUGGUUUGAGUACUGGACUAUGACUCAGGAGACCAGGAUUCAAUUCCCAGCUCAGCCA